This 103-nucleotide microRNA precursor is filed under the name Marmota monax (woodchuck). Lineage: Eukaryota; Metazoa; Chordata; Mammalia; Rodentia; Sciuridae. The record is from RNAcentral.
AGUGAGAUAGCUGGGUCAUAUGGUGUUUCCAUUCAAAGUUUUCUAAGAAAUCUCCUUACUCCUUUCCAGAGUGGUUGCACCAAUUUUCGGUCCCACCAGCAAU